CAACAAUGAUGAGCUUACUUCUGGUCCGUGUUUAUGAACACCUUGAUUUUAUUAGAAGUUCUGAGUCA
Danio rerio (zebrafish) is the source of this 68-nucleotide small nucleolar RNA. Its record names the gene SNORD18. It matches the Rfam family "Small nucleolar RNA SNORD18". Rfam says of the family: U18 is a member of the C/D class of snoRNA which contain the C (UGAUGA) and D (CUGA) box motifs. It is encoded in introns of ribosomal protein L1 in Xenopus and human, and in introns of elongation factor 1 beta in yeast. The record is from Ensembl. NCBI's taxonomy places the organism in Eukaryota, Metazoa, Chordata, Actinopteri, Cypriniformes, Danionidae.